CCCAAUUUGGAAAGGAAAAAGCGGUAACAGGGCUUAGGUGCUGACUAGUGGCGACGGGUGAGUAACAAAACGGACCCUGCCUAAAGUGGGGGAUACUACUCCCUAUAGAGCUAAUACCGCAUGAGAUCUAUGGAUGAAAGCAGGGGACCUUCGGGCCUUGUGCUACUACACCGGCUGAUGGCACAUUAUGUAGUUGGUGGGGUAAAGGGUUACCGAGCCUGCGAUCUGUCGAUGGUCUGAGAGGACGACCAGCCACACUGGGACAGAGACACGGACCCAACUCCUACAGGAGGCAACAAUGGGGAAUUUUGGACAAUGGGCGAAAGCCUGAUCCCCCAAUGCCCCCUGCAGGAUGAAGGCCCUCGGGUCGUAAGCUGCUUUUGUACUGUCCGAAAAGCGUGGGGCUAAUACCCCCGGGUCAUGACGGAAAUAUAAUAAUAACCACCGACUAACUACGUGUCACCAUCCGCGCUAAUACCUAGGGUGCGAGCGUGAAUCCGAAUUACUGGGCGUAAAGCCUGUGCCGCGGUUUUGUAACACUUGGUGAAAUCCCCGCUCCCCACUGUGAUCUGCCAUUGUGAUGGAAACUAAAGAGCAGACACGGGGAUAGGAUUCCACGUGUACCGUGUACUGCGUAUAUGUGCACAGAAACACCGAUGGCC
This 662-nucleotide ribosomal RNA is filed under the name Ottowia sp. SS11. RNAcentral describes it as "bacterial SSU rRNA". It matches the Rfam family "Bacterial small subunit ribosomal RNA", at positions 49 to 717 of the family's 1533-position model. RNAcentral also lists the same sequence under 1 other name. The record is from RNAcentral. Lineage: Bacteria; Pseudomonadati; Pseudomonadota; Betaproteobacteria; Burkholderiales; Comamonadaceae.